RNAcentral lists this unclassified non-coding RNA (389 nucleotides) under uncultured bacterium. RNAcentral's name for it is "contains 16S-23S intergenic spacer region". The record is from RNAcentral.
UCCGGCUUAACGCCGGCGGUCUCGCUAGAGUCCCCGGCAUGACCCGCUGGCAACUAGCGACAAGGGUUUCGCUCGUUAAGGGACUUAACCCGACACUUCACAGCACGAGCUGACGACAGCCAUGCAGCACCUGUGCACGUUGUACCCGACUCUACGGGUCGCCGACCCUUUCGGGCGACUACUGCCAACAUGUCAAACCCAGGUAAGGUUCUUCGCGUUGCAUCGAAUUAAUCCACAUGCUCCGCCGCUUGUGCGGGCCCCCGUCAAUUCCUUUGAGUUUUAGCCUUGCGGCCGUACUCCCCAGGCGGGGCGCUUAAUGCGUUAGCUACGGCACGGAUCCCGUGGAAGGAAACCCACACCUAGCGCCCACCGUUUACGGCGUGGACUAC